This 397-nucleotide ribosomal RNA is filed under the name uncultured bacterium. RNAcentral's name for it is "partial 16S ribosomal RNA". It matches the Rfam family "Bacterial small subunit ribosomal RNA", at positions 523 to 918 of the family's 1533-position model. The record is from RNAcentral.
AUACGUAGGGGGCAAGCGUUAUCCGGAUUUACUGGGUGUAAAGGGAGCGUAGACGGCAUGGCAAGUCUGAUGUGAAAACCCGGGGCUCAACCCCGGGAUUGCAUUGGAAACUGUCAAGCUAGAGUGCAGGAGAGGUAAGUGGAAUUCCUAGUGUAGAGGUGAAAUGCGUAGAUAUUAGGAGGAACACCAGUGGCGAAGGCGGCUUACUGGACUGUAACUGACGUUGAGGCUCGAAAGCGUGGGGAGCAAACAGGAUUAGAUACCCUGGUAGUCCACGCCGUAAACGAUAAAUACUAGGUGUUGGGAGGAACUAUCCUUUCGGUGCCGCAGCAAACGCAAUAAGUAUUCCACCUGGGGAGUACGUUCGCAAGAAUGAAACUCAAAUGAAUUGACGGGG